This 75-nucleotide transfer RNA is filed under the name Oscillospiraceae bacterium. Its description in RNAcentral is "tRNA-His". It matches the Rfam family "tRNA". Rfam says of the family: Transfer RNA (tRNA) molecules are approximately 80 nucleotides in length. Their secondary structure includes four short double-helical elements and three loops (D, anti-codon, and T loops). Lineage: Bacteria; Bacillati; Bacillota; Clostridia; Eubacteriales; Oscillospiraceae. The record is from RNAcentral.
GUGGAUGUAACCAAGCGGUAAAGCAGCGGAUUGUGGUUCUGCCUAUCGCGGGUUCGAUUCCCGUCAUCCACCCCA